GAUGAACGCUAGCGGGAGCUUAACACAUGCAAGUCGAGGGGCAGCAUAGGGUAGCAAUACUCUGAUGGCGACCGGCAAACGGGUGAGUAACGCGUAUGCAACCUACCUGUACAGGGGGAUAACCCGGAGAAAUUCGGACUAAUAUCCCGUAAUAAUAUCCGGAGGCAUCUUUGGAUAUUAAAGUUCCGACGGUACGGGAUGGGCAUGCGUAACAUUAGCUGGUUGGUAAGGUAACGGCUUACCAAGGCUAUGAUGUUUAGGGGUCCUGAGAGGGUGGUCCCCCACACUGGUACUGAGACACGGACCAGACUCCUACGGGAGGCAGCAGUGAGGAAUAUUGGUCAAUGGGCGCAAGCCUGAACCAGCCAUCCCGCGUGCAGGAAGACGGCCCUAUGGGUUGUAAACUGCUUUUCCAGGGAGAGAAACUUACGCACGUGUUGCGUGACUGACGGUACCCUGGGAAUAAGCAUCGGCUAACUCCGUG
RNAcentral lists this ribosomal RNA (484 nucleotides) under uncultured bacterium. Its description in RNAcentral is "bacterial SSU rRNA". It matches the Rfam family "Bacterial small subunit ribosomal RNA", at positions 28 to 507 of the family's 1533-position model. The record is from RNAcentral.